Molecule: ribosomal RNA, 1346 nt
Filed under: uncultured bacterium
Lineage: Bacteria
Description: partial 16S ribosomal RNA
Rfam family: Bacterial small subunit ribosomal RNA
Source: RNAcentral
GACGAACGCUUGCGGCGUGCUUAACACAUGCAAGUCGAACGGAAAGGCCCUGCUUUUGUGGGGUGCUCGAGUGGCGAACGGGUGAGUAACACGUGAGUAACCUGCCCUUGACUUUGGGAUAACUUCAGGAAACUGGGGCUAAUACCGGAUAGGAGCUCCUGCUGCAUGGUGGGGGUUGGAAAGUUUCGGCGGUUGGGGAUGGACUCGCGGCUUAUCAGCUUGUUGGUGGGGUAGUGGCUUACCAAGGCUUUGACGGGUAGCCGGCCUGAGAGGGUGACCGGCCACAUUGGGACUGAGAUACGGCCCAGACUCCUACGGGAGGCAGCAGUGGGGAAUAUUGCACAAUGGGCGGAAGCCUGAUGCAGCAACGCCGCGUGCGGGAUGACGGCCUUCGGGUUGUAAACCGCUUUCGCCUGUGACGAAGCGUGAGUGACGGUAAUGGGUAAAGAAGCACCGGCUAACUACGUGCCAGCAGCCGCGGUGAUACGUAGGGUGCGAGCGUUGUCCGGAUUUAUUGGGCGUAAAGGGCUCGUAGGUGGUUGAUCGCGUCGGAAGUGUAAUCUUGGGGCUUAACCCUGAGCGUGCUUUCGAUACGGGUUGACUUGAGGAAGGUAGGGGAGAAUGGAAUUCCUGGUGGAGCGGUGGAAUGCGCAGAUAUCAGGAGGAACACCAGUGGCGAAGGCGGUUCUCUGGGCCUUUCCUGACGCUGAGGAGCGAAAGCGUGGGGAGCGAACAGGCUUAGAUACCCUGGUAGUCCACGCUGUAAACGGUGGGUACUAGGUGUGGGGUCCAUUCCACGGGUUCCGUGCCGUAGCUAACGCUUUAAGUACCCCGCCUGGGGAGUACGGCCGCAAGGCUAAAACUCAAAGGAAUUGACGGGGCCCCGCACAAGCGGCGGAGCAUGCGGAUUAAUUCGAUGCAACGCGUAGAACCUUACCUGGGUUUGACAUGGAUCGGGAGUGCUCAGAGAUGGGUGUGCCUCUUUUGGGGUCGGUUCACAGGUGGUGCAUGCCUGUCGUCAGCUCGUGUCGUGAGAUGUUGGGUUAAGUCCCGCAACGAGCGCAACCCUUGUUCACUGUUGCCAGCACGUUAUGGUGGGGACUCAGUGGAGACCGCCGGGGUCAACUCGGAGGAAGGUGGGGAUGACGUCAAGUCCCCAUGCCCCUUAUGUCCAGGGCUUCACGCAUGCUACAAUGGCUGGUACAGAGAGUGGCGAGCCUGUGAGGGUGAGCGAAUCUCGGAAAGCCGGUCUCAGUUCGGAUUGGGGUCUGCAACUCGACCUCAUGAAGUCGGAGUCGCUAGUAAUCGCAGAUCAGCAACGCUGCGGUGAAUACGUUCCCGGGGCU